GUGGGGAAUUUUGGACAAUGGGCGCAAGCCUGAUCCAGCAAUGCCGCGUGCAGGAAGAAGGCCUUCGGGUUGUAAACUGCUUUUGUACGGAACGAAACGGUCCGGGUUAAUACCCUGGGCUAAUGACGGUACCGUAAGAAUAAGCACCGGCUAACUACGUGCCAGCAGCCGCGGUAAUACGUAGGGUGCAAGCGUUAAUCGGAAUUACUGGGCGUAAAGCGUGCGCAGGCGGUUUUGUAAGACAGGCGUGAAAUCCCCGGGCUCAACCUGGGAACUGCAUUUGUGACUGCAUCGCUGGAGUGCGGCAGAGGGGGAUGGAAUUCCGCGUGUAGCAGUGAAAUGCGUAGAUAUGCGGAGGAACACCGAUGGCGAAGGCAAUCCCCUGGGCCUGCACUGACGCUCAUGCACGAAAGCGUGGGGAGCAAACAGGAUUAGAAACCCCGGUAGUCC
This 450-nucleotide ribosomal RNA is filed under the name uncultured bacterium. RNAcentral describes it as "bacterial SSU rRNA". It matches the Rfam family "Bacterial small subunit ribosomal RNA", at positions 354 to 796 of the family's 1533-position model. The record is from RNAcentral.